ACUUCGUGGAAACGCCGCAAUUCGGACAAAGAGUCGUCACCGAAUCAGGCUCGAUCAGAGGCGGAGGCUGAUCCAGAGACUCCCCGCCGCCACCAAGUGCCGGGAAGGCACAAAGAGAGGGCGGCACUCCACCCGCCCCGCCGCCCGCGCGGGGCGGGGCGGGGCGAGGGCGGCCUGCCGACUCCACGGGGUCGUCUGGAGCCCGCAGGGCUCCGCCCCCGGGACUCGGGGCCAGCUGGCUGGGAGCCCAAUCCGCCCUGGGGGAACAAUCGCCAUCCCCCGGGCUGGAUCCGUCCCGGAGCGGGGUGAGGGGGGUCCACAUCGCACAGAAACUCAAACUCCCCCUCGUCCGCGACCGAGACAGAAGGGCCCCCCGGGAACUCCGAGGGCUACAGAACCCAGACCCCCGCCAAAUCACCUCACACUUUUUCCACUGCACCAGCAGCGACCCCAACGUCCACGGUGCAAUCGUCAAAGAGAACCUCCGUGAGGCGGACCCCCACGAGAUACCACUCCUGCCUGGAGAACGCCUGCGCAGGGUCCGAAAAGAACCCCUGUUCCUUGGCCCACAGAUGGAGCUUCACAAAAUCACUCCAGGAACCAGAAACCUGUUUCACCUGCAGGACAUCCCUCCAGAUGUCCAAAACGAAAGACUCCUCCUCGAAAGUCACAGAGGGAGCCAUCACCACAAGAGCAGCAGGCAAAGCGCCAAGGAGGGGGGUGGGAAAACGGCACGACCUCACCGCAAUCGGAAUCCGUGUCUCAGCCUAGGCUGCAGUACACUUCAGCAGUCACAAGAUGUCGCUAUGGAACACAAAAGAACACAGACGCACACCGCUGCUCCAAGGUGAACAAAAAAGGGAAGUUUAUUUCCUGACUCCAACAUUUAUAGUUUUCCAAAAGUGACAGUGGAUUAGAGGGUGACAGUGCCACCUCUCCAAUGCCACUGGGCAAACCAAGAGUCCAUCAAGUCUCUCCUCCUCCAUAAAGGAAUGCAAAACAAUGUGUUAUCUACAGACAGCAUGAGAGAAAGUUCUCCACAAGAAUAUAAACAUCAGAAGGCUUAGAAAAUCCUAGAAAAUCAGGGCGACACUUAAUGCCUUCUUCGCCUCAGUCUUUAGUGGUAAAACAGCCUGUCCUCAAGACAACUGUCCUCAGGGAUUAGUACAUAGUGCCAAGGAGCAGAAUGGUCCUCUUGUUAUCCAAGAAGAGGCAGAGAACUGCUGGGACACUUGGAUAUUUAUAAAUCAGUGGUACCAGAUGGGAUCCAUCCUAGGGUGAUGAGGGAGCUGGCAGAUGAGCUUGUGAAGCUGCUCUCCAUCAUUUAUCAAGAGUUGUGGCUCACUGGAGAGGUUCCAGAUGAUUGGAAAUGGGCCACUGUGACACCCAUUUACAAAAAAGAUGGACCUGGCUGCACGCACAAGUUGGUGAUACUUUGGUGGGACACAGAAUCCGACCGAUGGGAUUUGGAUGUUGUUACUGAGCUGCGGAAUGAGGACUUUACAAAUAAAACUGUAAAGCAGGAAUUGUUGAGAGAGCUGAGGCUGCUGUAUUGAAGAAUGUGCCCAACAAGGAUUUGUUUCAAGGGUUACAACAACUUGCUUUUCUUUUAGAUGUGAGGCAACAGCCUUAUUUUGUAAUGCAUGUCUGUUCUCAUUUACUUUGCUUGGUUUUGUUGCAGAAGGAAAUCGCCAAGCGGAUUUGCUUACUUUAUCCUUUCAAGCGUUGCGGUUUGCCCAAGCUAAACUUAGCCACUCCUUUUUUCAUCAGAAUGCUGCCUCACUGGCACACACUUUUGGCUUGACUAGCUGCCAAGCCUCCAGCAUUGUUGCUGUAUGUCCUGACUGCCAGAGGCACUCCUUUCCCUCCAUUGCUGGAGGAAUUAACCCUAGAGUACUCCAAAGCCUUCAAAUAUGGCAAACAGAUGUCACUAAUUUCCCAGAAUUUGGCUAACUUAAGUGUAUUAACUCCUCUAUAGAUACCUUUUUAGGUGCUCUGUUUGCAUCCUGUCAUACUGGAGAAUCAGCAAAAGACAUUUGUCGUCACUUUGCAAGUGCCUUUGCAGUCUUGGGUAUUCCCUUGCAAAUCAAAACUAAUAAUAGCCCAGCAUAUAUAUUUCCCAGAGAGUUGCGGCUUUUCUUGCCCUCUGGGGGGUAACACACAGCACGGGGAUUCCUCAUUACUCAACAGGCCAAGCUAUAAUCAAACGAGCCCACGCUUCACUUAAGCAUCUUUUGCUACAACAGAAAGGGGGAAUGGGGAAUGCCACCACAGUUGAGCAAUUACAGAAGGCAUUGUUCCCUAAUGGACCCUAACCCCCCAGUUGUGAGGCACUUUGGCCAUAACCCUCAGUUAGAAGUUAAACAGAAGGCCCCAGUCCUUAUAAAGGACCUGGAUACAGAUAAAAUUAUGGGACCUUAUCCCCUCAGCACAUGAGGAAGAGGUUAUGCUUGUGUCUCUACAGAAAACGGCCUGAGGUAGAUCCCAGCCAAGAAUGUGAGACUUUUCAGAGAAUCUUUGAAUACCUCUUCUGAAUAUCCUGACCACCCUGGCACUUCAUCUCUGGCUUUGCCUUCUCAGACCAUUGAGCACACCUCCACCAAGAUCCCAUGGCCACCCAAAUCAGCUCUUACCUGACCCAAGGGGACUCAUCAACCUCUUGCCACUUUGCAAUCUGGAUGGUCAACUCAUCCCUGAAAUAGUGAAAUCCUUAAUUGCAGAACAAGUCUCCAUUCAUGAAAGUGAUUUGCAGAAAAAACUUCACAACUCAUAAAAGUUGUGAAGUAGGUAUAUAUUUUUAUUCAGUGCUGGGCACGUGCAAGAUCAAAGAGCAUGCAAAUUCCCCGAGAGUCCAGUUCCCCCUUUGUCCCCUAACCCGUUGCAUAUGCAUUAAGUUUCACAAUAGGUCCAUGCAUAUUCAUUUACUAGCCCUGCUUUGCAUUACAAUUAGUUCCUAUCAGUCCUUGUGCAGAGAGCUCUCUGGUUGUAUCUUGGCAGCCUCAGUUUUGCUUUGCUUCUUGUUUCAGGGUCCAAGGGGCCUCUCUUAUCUCCCUCUAGCUUGGAAGUUCAGAUUCCUCUCACCUUGUUUGGGACAGUUUUGUGAGCUACAGGCUUUUUGAGAGCACAGGCUUUUUGCGAGCACAGCAAGUUAACAGACUAAAUAAGUUAACACAACACACUUCAUCUAUGUGAGCAAGCUACAGCCUAAAAAAUUCAAAACAGCACACUCAAUCUAAAUCCGAAAUUGAGUUCUACCCCAAGUUAAUUUCUAACCCCAUGUCUCAAAAGACAGCGAGAACAGUGUGAAAGGAGACUUGGACUUAGAUGUGAAAAUAACCCUAAACCUUGCUUUAUUUGUAGAGAAUAUUCCCACCAGGCAUGGACUCUGUGUAUGUGUUAUAGGUGUCAGAGAAAGUGGUAUUACGCAUCAGAGCACGGGGAUUGCCCACAGUAUGAUCCUUUGCGCUAUUCGUAUGGUGAUUGUAUUAUUUUAAAAAUUUGUCUGUGCACAGGAUUAUGGCUUGCCUUCACAUAGGUAUUUUUGGGAUCAAGAUUGGCCUCCUCAGGCUGAUCCUUUUUGUAGGAUUCAGUCUCUAUGAAGGGGAAAUGGUUGUGGUGCCAGCCCUUCCAGAAGGUAAUGUUCAGCUUAUGCUAGUUUCAGCUUUAAAUGAAUCUACUUUGUGCAUUUCUAUGACUUCUCCCAGUAACCCUUUUCAAACUUGCUUUGUUGCCAUGCCCUUACAGGAAAGUGAGUGGGAUACUUUAUUCAACUUGACAACCCAAAGAAAUUGUACCGCCCUAGGUCAAGUUGAACCAAAGUGGUGGUGUGAUACAGAGUACCGUAAAAAGCAAGGCCAGAUGGCUGGAUGGUUUUUUGCUAACAACAGUGGUCAAGGGAUGGAUAUAAUUAAUGAGUUUCCCCCUCUCCCCCUACAGCCUGAAGAUCUUGACAUUCUUGGAUCCACACAGUCCUUUGUGUGUUUCUUUUUAAAUUAUACCCAUAGAAUCUGGACCUAUGUUAACAAAGAAAAAAUAAACCCUGGCUUUGAUGUUUCAGGUACAGGUAUUUAUGGCAAUGCCUCUGCUUGGUGUAAUCACACCUUACCGUGUCAAGUUAUUCCAGGAGAACUUGCCAUCGGACUAAUAGACAAUAUAUUUUUAAUUUGUGGAAAUGGAGCUUGGAAAGGAAUACCGGGAGAGGCAAUUGGAGGCCCUUGCACUUUUGGGUGACUAACUGUGUUUCACUCCUCACAGAUAAACUUAACAUCUUUGCAUAAGCUAGGACGGGUGAAAUGCAGCACACAUACAUACACCCCAGAUUGUGACGAUAACGUACAAUCAUGGGAAACUGGGGUGUGAGUACUUGCCUCAAUUAUUCCAUCUAUUGGCACAGCACAUUCACAAAAAACUUUAAACGAGCUUGGUUGCUGGCUUGCAAAACAAACUAAUGCUACUAGCUCUGCUUUAACAGGCUUAUUAACAGAUAUUGAUAGUGUAAGGCAUACAACAUUGCAAAAUAGAGCUGCCAUAGAUUUUUUUGCUUUUAGCACAUGAGCAUGGCUGUGAAGACUUUGAAGGCUUAUGCUGCAUGAACCUGUCUGAUCAUUCUCAGUCUAUCCAUGCUAGCAUACAGGCCCUUCAACACAGUAUAACUAACUUACAGGUUGUUAGCAAUGGGGACUGGCUCCGGCAGAUGCUGGGGGGAUGUGGGCUCACUGGCUGACUUAAAAACUUGAUAAAGACAGGGAUUUAUAUUUUAGCUAUAGUAAUGCUUUUGAUUAUUCGCUUGCCAUGUGUUUUUCAAUGUGUUCAAAGAUUAAUAGAUAAGUCCCUGAAAAGAAUUUUAAUGGUUGAACAGAAAGGGAGAGAUGUGGGGAUGCAGCUGGGCAGUGGAGCAGAGAGUACUGCAGAGUUAAUGGAUGAUGUGGACAUCUUGGCCUUGGUGGGCCAAAAGCCCUGGGAACAUCAAACAGAAAUCUGAGGAAGGAAAGAAAAUGAAUGUUGUGCUUUGAUUUAAGGAAGUCAUGUAAGACUGCAGGUGUAAGAUUGUGGUUAAGCAAUAUUUCUAAGAACCAUUAAUAAUGUGGUUAUUGCUUGGCAGUGGAAAAUUUUAUCUAACGCUGUAAGAGUAUAUAAACUGAGCUUUUGAAGCAAUAAACAACUUCUUGCUUGCCCU
This is a long non-coding RNA of Serinus canaria (Common canary), 5176 nucleotides long. RefSeq lists it as uncharacterized. The transcript is spliced from 3 exons. The record is from RefSeq and is a predicted model, not a curated record. Lineage: Eukaryota; Metazoa; Chordata; Aves; Passeriformes; Fringillidae.